RNAcentral lists this ribosomal RNA (274 nucleotides) under uncultured bacterium. Its description in RNAcentral is "partial 16S ribosomal RNA". It matches the Rfam family "Bacterial small subunit ribosomal RNA", at positions 523 to 796 of the family's 1533-position model. The record is from RNAcentral.
AUACGGAGGGUGCAAGCGUUAUUCGGAAUCACUGGGCGUAAAGGACGCGUAGGCGGGUUGGCAAGUCAGAUGUGAAAUCCUACAGCUUAACUGUAGAACUGCAUUUGAAACUGCUAACCUAGAGUAUGGGAGGGGGAGAUGGAAUUAGUGGUGUAGGGGUAAAAUCCGUAGAUAUCACUAGGAAUACCGAAAUCGAAGGCGAUCUCCUGGAACAUAACUGACGCUAAGGCGUGAAAGCGUGGGGAGCAAACAGGAUUAGAUACCCUAGUAGUCC